This 2896-nucleotide ribosomal RNA is filed under the name Escherichia coli DEC10D. Its description in RNAcentral is "bacterial LSU rRNA". It matches the Rfam family "Bacterial large subunit ribosomal RNA". Lineage: Bacteria; Pseudomonadati; Pseudomonadota; Gammaproteobacteria; Enterobacterales; Enterobacteriaceae. The record is from RNAcentral.
UAAGCGACUAAGCGUACACGGUGGAUGCCCUGGCAGUCAGAGGCGAUGAAGGACGUGCUAAUCUGCGAUAAGCGUCGGUAAGGUGAUAUGAACCGUUAUAACCGGCGAUUUCCGAAUGGGGAAACCCAGUGUGUUUCGUCACACUAUCAUUAACUGAAUCCAUAGGUUAAUGAGGCGAACCGGGGGAACUGAAACAUCUAAGUACCCCGAGGAAAAGAAUCAACCGAGAUUCCCCCAGUAGCGGCGAGCGAACGGGGAGCAGCCCAGAGCCUGAAUCAGUAUGUGUGUUAGUGGAAAGCGUCUGGAAAGGCGACGCGAUACAGGGUGACAGCCCGUACACAAAAUGCACAUGCUGUGAGCUCGAUGAGUAGGCGGGACACGUGGUAUCCUGUCUGAAUAUGGGGGGACCAUCCUCCAAGGCUAAAUACUCCUGACUGACCGAUAGUGAACCAGUACCGUGAGGGAAAAGGCGAAAAGAACCCCGGCGAGGGGAGUGAAAAAGAACCUGAAACCGUGUACGUACAAGCAGUGGGAGCACGCUUAGGCGUGUGACUGCGUACCUUUUGUAUAAUGGGUCAGCGACUUAUAUUCUGUAGCAAGGUUAACCGAAUAGGGGAGCCGAAGGGAAACCGAGUCUUAACUGGGCGUUAAGUUGCAGGGUAUAGACCCGAAACCCGGUGAUCUAGCCAUGGGCAGGUUGAAGGUUGGGUAACACUAACUGGAGGACCGAACCGACUAAUGUUGAAAAAUUAGCGGAUGACUUGUGGCUGGGGGUGAAAGGCCAAUCAAACCGGGAGAUAGCUGGUUCUCCCCGAAAGCUAUUUAGGUAGCGCCUCGUGAAUUCAUCUCCGGGGGUAGAGCACUGUUUCGGCAAGGGGGUCAUCCCGACUUACCAACCCGAUGCAAACUGCGAAUACCGGAGAAUGUUAUCACGGGAGACACACGGCGGGUGCUAACGUCCGUCGUGAAGAGGGAAACAACCCAGACCGCCAGCUAAGGUCCCAAAGUCAUGGUUAAGUGGGAAACGAUGUGGGAAGGCCCAGACAGCCAGGAUGUUGGCUUAGAAGCAGCCAUCAUUUAAAGAAAGCGUAAUAGCUCACUGGUCGAGUCGGCCUGCGCGGAAGAUGUAACGGGGCUAAACCAUGCACCGAAGCUGCGGCAGCGACGCUUAUGCGUUGUUGGGUAGGGGAGCGUUCUGUAAGCCUGUGAAGGUGUGCUGUGAGGCAUGCUGGAGGUAUCAGAAGUGCGAAUGCUGACAUAAGUAACGAUAAAGCGGGUGAAAAGCCCGCUCGCCGGAAGACCAAGGGUUCCUGUCCAACGUUAAUCGGGGCAGGGUGAGUCGACCCCUAAGGCGAGGCCGAAAGGCGUAGUCGAUGGGAAACAGGUUAAUAUUCCUGUACUUGGUGUUACUGCGAAGGGGGACGGAGAAGGCUAUGUUGGCCGGGCGACGGUUGUCCCGGUUUAAGCGUGUAGGCUGGUUUUCCAGGCAAAUCCGGAAAAUCAAGGCUGAGGCGUGAUGACGAGGCACUACGGUGCUGAAGCAACAAAUGCCCUGCUUCCAGGAAAAGCCUCUAAGCAUCAGGUAACAUCAAAUCGUACCCCAAACCGACACAGGUGGUCAGGUAGAGAAUACCAAGGCGCUUGAGAGAACUCGGGUGAAGGAACUAGGCAAAAUGGUGCCGUAACUUCGGGAGAAGGCACGCUGAUAUGUAGGUGAAGUCCCUCGCGGAUGGAGCUGAAAUCAGUCGAAGAUACCAGCUGGCUGCAACUGUUUAUUAAAAACACAGCACUGUGCAAACACGAAAGUGGACGUAUACGGUGUGACGCCUGCCCGGUGCCGGAAGGUUAAUUGAUGGGGUCAGCGCAAGCGAAGCUCUUGAUCGAAGCCCCGGUAAACGGCGGCCGUAACUAUAACGGUCCUAAGGUAGCGAAAUUCCUUGUCGGGUAAGUUCCGACCUGCACGAAUGGCGUAAUGAUGGCCAGGCUGUCUCCACCCGAGACUCAGUGAAAUUGAACUCGCUGUGAAGAUGCAGUGUACCCGCGGCAAGACGGAAAGACCCCGUGAACCUUUACUAUAGCUUGACACUGAACAUUGAGCCUUGAUGUGUAGGAUAGGUGGGAGGCUUUGAAGUGUGGACGCCAGUCUGCAUGGAGCCGACCUUGAAAUACCACCUUUAAUGUUGAUGUUCUAACGUUGACCCGUAAUCCGGGUUGCGGACAGUGUCUGGUGGGUAGUUUGACUGGGGCGGUCUCCUCCUAAAGAGUAACGGAGGAGCACGAAGGUUGGCUAAUCCUGGUCGGACAUCAGGAGGUUAGUGCAAUGGCAUAAGCCAGCUUGACUGCGAGCGUGACGGCGCGAGCAGGUGCGAAAGCAGGUCAUAGUGAUCCGGUGGUUCUGAAUGGAAGGGCCAUCGCUCAACGGAUAAAAGGUACUCCGGGGAUAACAGGCUGAUACCGCCCAAGAGUUCAUAUCGACGGCGGUGUUUGGCACCUCGAUGUCGGCUCAUCACAUCCUGGGGCUGAAGUAGGUCCCAAGGGUAUGGCUGUUCGCCAUUUAAAGUGGUACGCGAGCUGGGUUUAGAACGUCGUGAGACAGUUCGGUCCCUAUCUGCCGUGGGCGCUGGAGAACUGAGGGGGGCUGCUCCUAGUACGAGAGGACCGGAGUGGACGCAUCACUGGUGUUCGGGUUGUCAUGCCAAUGGCACUGCCCGGUAGCUAAAUGCGGAAGAGAUAAGUGCUGAAAGCAUCUAAGCACGAAACUUGCCCCGAGAUGAGUUCUCCCUGACUCCUUGAGAGUCCUGAAGGAACGUUGAAGACGACGACGUUGAUAGGCCGGGUGUGUAAGCGCAGCGAUGCGUUGAGCUAACCGGUACUAAUGAACCGUGAGGCUUAACCU